AAUCAACGCUGGCGGCGUGCCUCAGACAUGCAAGUCGAACGAUUAAGACUUCCUUCGGGAAGUGCAUAAAGUGGCGCACGGGUGAGUAACACGUAAGUAAUCUACCCUCGAGUGGGGAAUAACGUUCGGAAACGGACGCUAAUACCGCAUAACGCAGCGGCACCGCAAGGUGACAGUUGUUAAAGGAGCAAUCCGCUUGAGGAGGAGCUUGCGGCAGAUUAGCUAGUUGGUAGGGUAAUGGCUUACCAAGGCUACGAUCUGUAUCCGGUCUAAGAGGACGGUCGGACACACUGACACUGAAUAACGGGUCAGACUCCUACGGGAGGCAGCAGUCGGGAAUUUUGGGCAAUGGGCGAAAGCCUGACUCAGCAACGCCGCGUGAAGGAUGAAGUAUUUCGGUAUGUAAACUUCGAAAGAAUAGGAAGAAUAAAUGACGAUACUAUUUAUAAGCUCCGGCUAACUACGUG
This 467-nucleotide ribosomal RNA is filed under the name uncultured bacterium. RNAcentral describes it as "bacterial SSU rRNA". It matches the Rfam family "Bacterial small subunit ribosomal RNA", at positions 32 to 507 of the family's 1533-position model. The record is from RNAcentral.